This 489-nucleotide ribosomal RNA is filed under the name uncultured bacterium. RNAcentral's name for it is "bacterial SSU rRNA". It matches the Rfam family "Bacterial small subunit ribosomal RNA", at positions 28 to 521 of the family's 1533-position model. The record is from RNAcentral.
GACGAACGCUGGCGGCGUGCCUAACACAUGCAAGUCGAGCGGAGACAGAUUUGAGCUUGCUUAGAUCUGUUUUAGCGGCGGACGGGUGAGUAACGCGUGAGCAACCUUUCUCUCAGUGGGGAAUAACACAGGGAAACUUGUACUAAUACCGCAUGAGACCACAAUGUCGCAUGGCAAAGGGGUCAAAGAUUAAUCGCUGAGAGGUGGGCUCGCGUCUGAUUAGAUAGUUGGUGGGGUAACGGCCUACCAAGUCGACGAUCAGUAGCCGACCUGAGAGGGUGAUCGGCCACAUUGGGACUGAGACACGGCCCAAACUCCUACGGGAGGCAGCAGUGGGGAAUAUUGGGCAAUGGGCGAAAGCCUGACCCAGCAACGCCGCGUGAAGGAAGAAGGCCUUCGGGUUGUAAACGUUCUUUUGGUCAGGGACGAAGUAAAAUAGACGGUACCUGCAGAAUAAGCCACGGCUAACUACGUGCCAGCAGCCGCGGU